UGGGGAAUAUUGCACAAUGGGCGAAAGCCUGAUGCAGCAACGCCGCGUGAGUGAUGAAGGCCUUCGGGUUGUAAAGCUCUGUCUUUUGGGACGAUAAUGACGGUACCAAAGGAGGAAGCCACGGCUAACUACGUGCCAGCAGCCGCGGUAAUACGUAGGUGGCAAGCGUUGUCCGGAUUUACUGGGCGUAAAGGAUGCGUAGGCGGAUUUUUAAGUGAGAUGUGAAAUACCCGGGCUUAACUUGGGUGCUGCAUUUCAAACUGGGAAUCUAGAGUGCGGGAGAGGAGAAAUGGAAUUCCUAGUGUAGCGGUGAAAUGCGUAGAGAUUAGGAAGAACACCAGUGGCGAAGGCGAUUCUCUGGACCGUAGCUGACGCUGAGGCAUGAAAAGCGUGGGUAGCAAAACAGGAUUAGAUACCCUGGUAGUCCACGCCGUAAAACGAUGAGUACUAGGUGUAGGAGGUAUCGACCCCUUCUGUGCCGCAGUUAACACAAUAAGUACUCCGCCUGGGAAGUACGAUCGCAAGAUUAAAAACUCAAAAUG
RNAcentral lists this ribosomal RNA (542 nucleotides) under uncultured bacterium. RNAcentral's name for it is "partial 16S ribosomal RNA". It matches the Rfam family "Bacterial small subunit ribosomal RNA", at positions 355 to 908 of the family's 1533-position model. The record is from RNAcentral.